GAUGAACGCUGGCGGCGUGCCUAAUACAUGCAAGUCGAGCGAACAGACGAGGAGCUUGCUCCUCUGACGUUAGCGGCGGACGGGUGAGUAACACGUGUAUAACCUACCUAUAAGACUGGGAUAACUUCGGGAAACCGGAGCUAAUACCGGAUAAUAUAUUGAACCGCAUGGUUCAAUAGUGAAAGACGGUUUUGCUGUCACUUAUAGAUGGAUCCGCGCCGCAUUAGCUAGUUGGUAGGGUAACGGCUUACCAAGGCAACGAUGCGUAGCCGACCUGAGAGGGUGAUCGGCCACACUGGAGCUGAGACACGGUCCAGACUCCUACGGGAGGCAGCAGUAGGGAAUCUUCCGCAAUGGGCGAAAGCCUGACGGAGCAACGCCGCGUGAGUGAUGAAGGUCUUCGGAUUGUAAAACUCUUUUAGUAGGGAAGAACAAAUGUGUAAGUAACUAUGCACGUCUUGACGGUACCUAAUCAGAAAGCCACGGCUAACUACGUG
RNAcentral lists this ribosomal RNA (497 nucleotides) under uncultured bacterium. Its description in RNAcentral is "partial 16S ribosomal RNA". It matches the Rfam family "Bacterial small subunit ribosomal RNA", at positions 28 to 507 of the family's 1533-position model. The record is from RNAcentral.